This 507-nucleotide ribosomal RNA is filed under the name Escherichia sp. RNAcentral's name for it is "bacterial SSU rRNA". It matches the Rfam family "Bacterial small subunit ribosomal RNA", at positions 251 to 750 of the family's 1533-position model. The record is from RNAcentral. Lineage: Bacteria; Pseudomonadati; Pseudomonadota; Gammaproteobacteria; Enterobacterales; Enterobacteriaceae.
GGUGGGGUAACGGCUCACCUAGGCGACGAUCCCUAGCUGGUCUGAGAGGAUGACCAGCCACACUGGAACUGAGACACGGUCCAGACUCCUACGGGAGGCAGCAGUGGGGAAUAUUGCACAAUGGGCGCAAGCCUGAUGCAGCCAUGCCGCGUGUAUGAAGAAGGCCUUCGGGUUGUAAAGUACUUUCAGCGGGGAGGAAGGGAGUAAAGUUAAUACCUUUGCUCAUUGACGUUACCCGCAGAAGAAGCACCGGCUAACUCCGUGCCAGCAGCCGCGGUAAUACGGAGGGUGCAAGCGUUAAUCGGAAUUACUGGGCGUAAAGCGCACGCAGGCGGUUUGUUAAGUCAGAUGUGAAAUCCCCGGGCUCAACCUGGGAACUGCAUCUGAUACUGGCAAGCUUGAGUCUCGUAGAGGGGGGUAGAAUUCCAGGUGUAGCGGUGAAAUGCGUAGAGAUCUGGAGGAAUACCCGGUGGCGAAGGCGGCCCCCUGGACGAAGACUACGCUCAG